Molecule: microRNA precursor, 106 nt
Filed under: Sorghum bicolor (sorghum)
Lineage: Eukaryota; Viridiplantae; Streptophyta; Magnoliopsida; Poales; Poaceae
Description: miR5568 stem-loop (sbi-MIR5568a)
Source: miRBase by way of RNAcentral
UCCCAACAUUCCAAAUUGUAAGUCGUUCUGGCUUUUCUAAGUAGAUUGCUGUGGCUAUGCACCUAUGUAUGUAGAAGAGCCAGAGCGACUUACAAUUUGGAACAAU